This 361-nucleotide ribosomal RNA is filed under the name Bacillus cereus. RNAcentral describes it as "bacterial SSU rRNA". It matches the Rfam family "Bacterial small subunit ribosomal RNA", at positions 393 to 745 of the family's 1533-position model. The record is from RNAcentral. Lineage: Bacteria; Bacillati; Bacillota; Bacilli; Caryophanales; Bacillaceae.
CACGCCGCGUGAGUGAUGAAGGCUUUCGGGUCGUAAAACUCUGUUGUUAGGGAAGAACAAGUGCUAGUUGAAUAAGCUGGCACCUUGACGGUACCUAACCACAAAGCCACGGCUAACUACGUGCCAACAGCCGCGGUAAUACGUAGGUGGCAAGCGUUAUCCGGAAUUAUUGGGCGUAAAGCGCGCGCAGGUGGUUUCUUAAGUCUGAUGUGAAAGCCCACGGCUCAACCGUGGAGGGUCAUUGGAAACUGGGAGACUUGAGUGCAGAAGAGGAAAGUGGAAUUCCAUGUGUAGCGGUGAAAUGCGUAUAGAUAUGGAGGAACACCAGUGGCGAACGCGACUUUCUGGUCUGGUACUGACA